Molecule: ribosomal RNA, 479 nt
Filed under: uncultured Bacteroidota bacterium
Lineage: Bacteria; Pseudomonadati; Bacteroidota
Description: bacterial SSU rRNA
Rfam family: Bacterial small subunit ribosomal RNA
Source: RNAcentral
UAGGGAAUAUUGGUCAAUGGAUGGAAGUCUGAACCAGCCAUGCCGCGUGCAGGAAGAAGGCCUUCUGGGUUGUAAACUGCUUUUGCCAGGGGAUAAAAUUUCCUUGCGAGGAAAAUUGAAGGUACCUGGUGAAUAAGCCACGGCUAACUACGUGCCAGCAGCCGCGGUAAUACGUAGGUGGCAAGCGUUGUCCGGAUUCAUUGGGUUUAAAGGGUGCGUAGGCGGCUUUGUAAGUCAGUGGUGAAAUAUCGCAGCUUAACUGUGAGGGUGCCAUUGAUACUGCAGAGCUUGAGUACAGAUGAGGUAGGCGGAAUUGACGGUGUAGCGGUGAAAUGCUUAGAUAUCGUCAAGAACACCUAUAGCGAAGGCAGCUUACUAGGCUGUAACUGACGCUGAGGCACGAAAGUGUGGGGAUCAAACAGGAUUAGAUACCCUGGUAGUCCACACUGUAAACGUUGAUUACUCGCUGUGUGCGAUAU